This 2921-nucleotide ribosomal RNA is filed under the name Escherichia coli. Its description in RNAcentral is "bacterial LSU rRNA". It matches the Rfam family "Bacterial large subunit ribosomal RNA". The record is from RNAcentral. Lineage: Bacteria; Pseudomonadati; Pseudomonadota; Gammaproteobacteria; Enterobacterales; Enterobacteriaceae.
GGGUUGUGAGGUUAAGCGACUAAGCGUACACGGUGGAUGCCCUGGCAGUCAGAGGCGAUGAAGGACGUGCUAAUCUGCGAUAAGCGUCGGUGAGGUGAUAUGAACCGUUAUAACCGGCGAUUUCCGAAUGGGGAAACCCAGUGUGUUUCGACACACUAUCAUUAACUGAAUCCAUAGGUUAAUGAGGCGAACCGGGGGAACUGAAACAUCUAAGUACCCCGAGGAAAAGAAAUCAACCGAGAUUCCCCCAGUAGCGGCGAGCGAACGGGGAGGAGCCCAGAGCCUGAAUCAGUGUGUGUGUUAGUGGAAGCGUCUGGAAAGGCGCGCGAUACAGGGUGACAGCCCCGUACACAAAAAUGCACAUAUUGUGAGCUCGAUGAGUAGGGCGGGACACGUGGUAUCCUGUCUGAAUAUGGGGGACCAUCCUCCAAGGCUAAAUACUCCUGACUGACCGAUAGUGAACCAGUACCGUGAGGGAAAGGCGAAAAGAACCCCGGCGAGGGGAGUGAAAAAGAACCUGAAACCGUGUACGUACAAGCAGUGGGAGCCUCUUAAUGGGGUGACUGCGUACCUUUUGUAUAAUGGGUCAGCGACUUAUAUUCUGUAGCAAGGUUAACCGAAUAGGGGAGCCGAAGGGAAACCGAGUCUUAACUGGGCGUUAAGUUGCAGGGUAUAGACCCGAAACCCGGUGAUCUAGCCAUGGGCAGGUUGAAGGUUGGGUAACACUAACUGGAGGACCGAACCGACUAAUGUUGAAAAAUUAGCGGAUGACUUGUGGCUGGGGGUGAAAGGCCAAUCAAACCGGGAGAUAGCUGGUUCUCCCCGAAAGCUAUUUAGGUAGCGCCUCGUGAAUUCAUCUCCGGGGUAGAGCACUGUUUCGGCAAGGGGUCAUCCCGACUUACCAACCCGAUGCAAACUGCGAAUACCGGAGAAUGUUAUCACGGGAGACACACGGCGGGUGCUAACGUCCGUCGUGAAGAGGGAAACAACCCAGACCGCCAGCUAAGGUCCCAAAGUCAUGGUUAAGUGGGAAACGAUGUGGGAAGGCCCAGACAGCCAGGAUGUUGGCUUAGAAGCAGCCAUCAUUUAAAGAAAGCGUAAUAGCUCACUGGUCGAGUCGGCCUGCGCGGAAGAUGUAACGGGGCUAAACCAUGCACCGAAGCUGCGGCAGCGACACUAUGUGUUGUUGGGUAGGGGAGCGUUCUGUAAGCCUGUGAAGGUGGCCUGUGAGGGUUGCUGGAGGUAUCAGAAGUGCGAAUGCUGACAUAAGUAACGAUAAAGCGGGUGAAAAGCCCGCUCGCCGGAAGACCAAGGGUUCCUGUCCAACGUUAAUCGGGGCAGGGUGAGUCGACCCCUAAGGCGAGGCCGAAAGGCGUAGUCGAUGGGAAACAGGUUAAUAUUCCUGUACUUGGUGUUACUGCGAAGGGGGGACGGAGAAGGCUAUGUUGGCCGGGCGACGGUUGUCCCGGUUUAAGCGUGUAGGCUGGUUUUCCAGGCAAAUCCGGAAAACCAAGGCUGAGGCGUGAUGACGAGGCACUACGGUGCUGAAGCGACAAAUGCCCUGCUUCCAGGAAAAGCCUCUAAGCAUCAGGUAACAUCAAAUCGUACCCCAAACCGACACAGGUGGUCAGGUAGAGAAUACCAAGGCGCUUGAGAGAACUCGGGUGAAGGAACUAGGCAAAAUGGUGCCGUAACUUCGGGAGAAGGCACGCUGAUAUGUAGGUGAAGCGACUUGCUCGUGGAGCUGAAAUCAGUCGAAGAUACCAGCUGGCUGCAACUGUUUAUUAAAAACACAGCACUGUGCAAACACGAAAGUGGACGUAUACGGUGUGACGCCUGCCCGGUGCCGGAAGGUUAAUUGAUGGGGUUAGCGGCAACGCGAAGCUCUUGAUCGAAGCCCCGGUAAACGGCGGCCGUAACUAUAACGGUCCUAAGGUAGCGAAAUUCCUUGUCGGGUAAGUUCCGACCUGCACGAAUGGCGUAAUGAUGGCCAGGCUGUCUCCACCCGAGACUCAGUGAAAUUGAACUCGCUGUGAAGAUGCAGUGUACCCGCGGCAAGACGGAAAGACCCCGUGAACCUUUACUAUAGCUUGACACUGAACAUUGAGCCUUGAUGUGUAGGAUAGGUGGGAGGCUUUGAAGUGUGGACGCCAGUCUGCAUGGAGCCGACCUUGAAAUACCACCCUUUAAUGUUUGAUGUUCUAACGUUGGCCCGUAAUCCGGGUUGCGGACAGUGUCUGGUGGGUAGUUUGACUGGGGCGGUCUCCUCCUAAAGAGUAACGGAGGAGCACGAAGGUUGGCUAAUCCUGGUCGGACAUCAGGAGGUUAGUGCAAUGGCAUAAGCCAGCUUGACUGCGAGCGUGACGGCGCGAGCAGGUGCGAAAGCAGGUCAUAGUGAUCCGGUGGUUCUGAAUGGAAGGGCCAUCGCUCAACGGAUAAAAGGUACUCCGGGGAUAACAGGCUGAUACCGCCCAAGAGUUCAUAUCGACGGCGGUGUUUGGCACCUCGAUGUCGGCUCAUCACAUCCUGGGGCUGAAGUAGGUCCCAAGGGUAUGGCUGUUCGCCAUUUAAAGUGGUACGCGAGCUGGGUUUAGAACGUCGUGAGACAGUUCGGUCCCUAUCUGCCGUGGGCGCUGGAGAACUGAGGGGGCUGCUCCUAGUACGAGAGGACCGGAGUGGACGCAUCACUGGUGUUCGGGUUGUCAUGCCAAUGGCACUGCCCGGUAGCUAAAUGCGGAAGAGAUAAGUGCUGAAAGCAUCUAAGCACGAAACUUGCCCCGAGAUGAGUUCUCCCUGACCCUUUAAGGGUCCUGAAGGAACGUUGAAGACGACGACGUUGAUAGGCCGGGUGUGUAAGCGCAGCGAUGCGUUGAGCUAACCGGUACUAAUGAACCGUGAGGCUUAACCUUACAACGCCGAAG